Anser brachyrhynchus (Pink-footed goose) is the source of this 1659-nucleotide long non-coding RNA. The record is from Ensembl. Lineage: Eukaryota; Metazoa; Chordata; Aves; Anseriformes; Anatidae.
CAGUUACAGAGAUAUCCUUUUAGGAGCACACUUUUUCAGCACAGUAGCGCACCCUGUCCCAGGGCUGGUGACACUUUUUGCAGCAAUGAGAUGAUGGAUAGACAAUGAAAGAGAGCUCAAAUCUCCCAUUUCCUGAAUGACUGCUCUAAAAACUGGGCUGUUCAAGAGAAGACAAAUGAUAAGUGGUACCAGCAACGCCUCUGGCAUGUGAAAAUGAAAAUAUCUGUGUCAUCAAUGAAUGAUAUUUGUCCUGAAUUUGGCACAGACCACACUCAAAGACUGCCCACUUUGUGGUACAGGUGGAGAAAGCUGCCCUACUAUUUGGUGACAGACAAGGACUAUAAUAUUGUUAUCACCAAAGUCAAUAACACAACACAACACAAGCUUUCCAAGCGUUUAUGAAGGACAGGGAGGGAUCUCUUCAUCUCUCCAUCAGGUUAUUCAAGCCCAAUAAGCGAGAUCAGUUCAUCAAAGGAUGUUUCACCCCUUUUCAGGCUUUGUUGCACUCCUGCCAGACAGGCAGUGUUUCCAGGCACCCACUGUCCUGGCAAUCAAGGGGCUCCUCAGGCCCUGGGACAAAAAGCAGUUGCCUGCAGGAAUGGAGACAUCCAGCACUGGGCCCUGUCAGGAGGAGGAUACCAGACUAUGUGAGCCUUUGAUUUUACUUGGUGCAGUUGUUGCUAUCGUCCUGCAUUCUCAUAUACAUUAAGGGUUAAAUUCAGAAUUCCGCCUUCACCCAGGAGUUUUGCCAAGAAUACAAGUUUGGGCAUUUUGCCUCCUAAGCACUGUGACAGGAAUUAGUUAAAUCCGACUUUGUAAGGAACACAGUGCUUAAAACUUGUACUGCUGUCCUUAGUGCUGCUGUCUGUGGGUGCAGGACUGCCAUCAGCAUAAUCUCCUUCACCCUCACUCUUCGAUCUUGAAGUAUGAUAAUAACCAAAGAACUUCUCCUAUAGAAUUCAUCCUCACUCUUCCACCAUAUCUGCUCUUGUUACUUAUCAGCAAAUCUGGAAACCUUGCUUAAUAACAGCAUUCAGUCAACCUUUUCAUAUGGUGUAUCCAUCAUCAUACAAAAAAAGGCUGUAUUGUAUUGAUCCUGAAUUAACAAUAGGGCACUGAAGUGCAAACUAUAGCUGCUACUCUGUUUUUGCCAAAAUUGUAUUUAAAGUAGCUCAAAUGCUGAGUAAAUAUAAAGGGAAAUCACAUACAUGGAACAGGAAAUUUUUAGGGUGAUAAUAUACAUUGCUUUGUGGUAAAAAUUUCCAGAAAGAGUCAGCUUUUAUGACUAGACUCAGAUGCUAUUUACUCACCUAAAUAAUUAUUAGUAGGUUUUCAAAGGAGCUCGGCACUCAGUGUGCUGAAAUCUUUUGAAAACCUGGUCAUAAUAGUCACAAUGGGAACUGAGCUCUUUUGAAAAACUACUCACAGCUGAGAGUGCCAAGCCAGAGAAGGCUGGAUCUCAGACAGAAAACUUGCAUCAUAACAUCUCUUGAAAUACUCAGUGGUUGAUGGGAAAAGACGAGUAUCUACUCUACCCUCUGACUGCAGCCGGCAUCAGAUGAACAACCGGUUGUGAUUUUUCCAUUAUAUUGAUUUCCCAACAGGAAACUUGGGUUCCAAAAAAUCCUCUUCUGAGAGAAGAUAUUGAUUUUGAGGCAU